AACGAACGCUGGCGGCAGGCUUAACACAUGCAAGUCGAGCGGGCACCUUCGGGUGUCAGCGGCGAACGGGUGAGUAACGCGUGGGAACGUGCCCUUUCCUCCGGAAUAGCCUCGGGAAACUGAGAUUAAUGCCGGAUACGCCCUUUUGGGGAAAGAUUUAUCGGGGAAGGAUCGGCCCGCGUUGGAUUAGGUAGUUGGUGGGGUAAUGGCCUACCAAGCCGACGAUCCAUAGCUGGUUUGAGAGGAUGAUCAGCCACACUGGGACUGAGACACGGCCCAGACUCCUACGGGAGGCAGCAGUGGGGAAUAUUGCGCAAUGGGGGAAACCCUGACGCAGCGACGCCGCGUGAGCGAAGAAGGCCUUAGGGUUGUAAAGCUCUGUUCUAUGGGACGAAGUCCUUGACUGUGAAUAAUGGUCAAGGUUGACGGUACCAUAGGAGGAAGCCACGGCUAACUACGUGCCAGCAGCCGCGGUAAGUCACGUGUAA
This 488-nucleotide ribosomal RNA is filed under the name uncultured bacterium. Its description in RNAcentral is "bacterial SSU rRNA". It matches the Rfam family "Bacterial small subunit ribosomal RNA", at positions 29 to 534 of the family's 1533-position model. The record is from RNAcentral.